GACGAACGCUGGCGGCGUACUUAACACAUGCAAGUCGAACGGAAAGGCCCCCUUGUGGGGUACUCGAGUGGCGAACGGGUGAGUAACACGUGAGUAACCUACCCUUGACUUUGGGAUAACUUCAGGAAACUGGGGCUAAUACCGGAUAGGAGCUCCUGCUGCAUGGUGGGGGUUGGAAAGUUUCGGCGGUUGGGGAUGGACUCGCGGCUUAUCAGCUUGUUGGUGGGGUAGUGGCUCACCAAGGCUUUGACGGGUAGCCGGCCUGAGAGGGUGACCGGCCACAUUGGGACUGAGAUACGGCCCAGACUCCUACGGGCGGCAGCAGUGGGGAAUAAUGCACAAUGGGCGGAAGCCUGAUGCAGCAACGCCGCGUGCGGGAUGACGGCCUUCGGGUUGUAAACCGCUUUCGCCUGUGACGAAGCGUGAGUGACGGUAAUGGGUAAAGAAGCACCGGCUAACUACGUG
This 465-nucleotide ribosomal RNA is filed under the name uncultured bacterium. RNAcentral describes it as "partial 16S ribosomal RNA". It matches the Rfam family "Bacterial small subunit ribosomal RNA", at positions 28 to 507 of the family's 1533-position model. The record is from RNAcentral.